AUUUUGAAAUGUAGUUUAGUUUGGAGUCAAUUGUAAUAAGAUCUGUUUCUAAAUUAUCUUUGAAUCGUCUAGAGUCAAGACCAUAACCAUCAGUUCUAUUAAACAUGCAACAGAACUUUAAAAUUAAAAGACCACAAGUUCACAACUUCACGAGCUAAGACCUUCUCCAUCGGUAGUCUCUUAGAGGGGUUCAUAUUGUUUUGGAGGAAAAAAACAAUUCAGAACAAAAGAAAAAAAGGUAAGGGAGGUUGUUAUAUAGUAUACUCAUCAUUGCUCUAAGCGACGCUACGUGUCGUUUUUGUGUUGGCCAAAAAAUAAAUACAAAGGAGAAAUUUUUUUUUGGGAAGCUCGAUUUUGAUCGUCCCGAACCGAGAAAAGAUGGAAUUUGAAGGUGUUUGGAAUCGAAGGAGAAGGUUCACUUCCUUUGUUUCGAAAUUAUAAGGGUUACUUCGAUUCGCAUUCUUCUUCUUCGUCUCCAUCUCCAGCUUGACAAUGGAUCUUGAACGUCUUUUUAGCAGAUACGGAAGGUGCAAGAGCUUUAUGAGCAUUCUGCAGAAUAUGAAGGGAAGCAUGAACCAAAAAAGCUAGAGGAGCUAGGGAAUGUAUUCUUGCUCAUCAAUCUCUUGGCUUAUGCAAUUGCAUGAUCUAUGUGUGGAAUUGAGAUGAUAGCUUUGGAAGUCACAUAUCGUUUCAACGAUUUUGCAUCCCCUGUACUGACUAAUAGCGAUUUUGUUGGUCCAGAGCCAACAACAGAUCGGUUUGUGG
This is a non-coding RNA of Camelina sativa (false flax), 765 nucleotides long. The record is from RefSeq and is a predicted model, not a curated record. Lineage: Eukaryota; Viridiplantae; Streptophyta; Magnoliopsida; Brassicales; Brassicaceae.